CUACGGGUUGCUGCAGUGGGGAAUCUUGGGCAAUGGGCGAAAGCCUGACCCAGCAACGCCGCGUGGGUGAUGAAGGCCUUCGGGUCGUAAAGCCCUGUCGGAAGGAAAGAAUACUUCCGGGGUGAACAAUCCCGGAAGAUGACGGUACCUUCAAAGGAAGCACCGGCUAACUCCGUGCCAGCAGCCGCGGUAAGACGGAGGGUGCUAGCGUUGUUCGGAAUCAUUGGGCGUAAAGGGCGUGUAGGCGGUUUGUUAAGUCAUACGUGAAAGCCCUCGGCUUAACUGAGGAAGGGCGUAUGAAACUGGCGAGCUAGAGUGCGGAAGAGGGGGGUGGAAUUCCAGGUGUAGCGGUGAAAUGCGUAGAUAUCUGGAGGAACACCGGUGGCGAAGGCGACCCCCUGGUCCGACACUGACGCUGAGACGCGAAAGCGUGGGUAGCAAACAGGAUUAGAUACCCCUGUAGUC
This 465-nucleotide ribosomal RNA is filed under the name uncultured bacterium. RNAcentral's name for it is "partial 16S ribosomal RNA". It matches the Rfam family "Bacterial small subunit ribosomal RNA", at positions 339 to 795 of the family's 1533-position model. The record is from RNAcentral.